This is a non-coding RNA of Triticum aestivum (bread wheat), 135 nucleotides long. NCBI's taxonomy places the organism in Eukaryota, Viridiplantae, Streptophyta, Magnoliopsida, Poales, Poaceae. The record is from Rfam.
CUCCUACUCCCUCCGUCCGAAAAUACUUGUCAUCAAAAUGGAUAAAAAGGGAUGUAUCUAGAACUAAAAUACGUCUAGAUACAUCUUCUUUUAUUCAUUUUGAUGACAAGUAUAUCUGGACGGAGGGAGUACAAA